RNAcentral lists this long non-coding RNA (431 nucleotides) under Citrus maxima (pomelo). RNAcentral's name for it is "long non-coding RNA (CMAX_LNC004347)". Lineage: Eukaryota; Viridiplantae; Streptophyta; Magnoliopsida; Sapindales; Rutaceae. The record is from RNAcentral.
AGAGCGGGAUUAUUGGUUAAUGAAAUUUGGAACGACACCGAUAUUCAAAUCGGUAUCUUUCAUUGCUCACUAACUCUUACCUACUCCCACCCCGAAUUCUUUCUGUGGGAAUCCUAAAUAAAUAAAAAAAAAAAAAAGAUCCCAUUUUACGGAAUGCUAGACUAUUUUGUAUAGAUACAAAGACAAAAGGGCCCAGAUUAAGUCAUUGUUUCCUUUCUAAUUUGUUGUUUUUUAUUUUAAUCUAACCUAGUCUUACUUAAGAGACUUAAUCCCGAAUUCAAUCAGUACCAGGAAUACCCUCUUGUUUAGAAUUCCGAAAUGAAAAGAGAAUAAUUGGGAUUCUAAAAAGAUAGGAAUGGGGAGGCUUUCCCAUUUCGAUUUAGAAUGGAUCUUUGAAAAUUCAAUUCGAGGGGGGGGCGUCAGACUUUUCU